AUCAUGCCGGUGAGUUGCUGAGGAGCCUUAGUUACUCAAUGUGCGCCGGUAGUAGCUCCUUCCUGCCCCCGUGAUGUUGUGUGCUGAAUGCGGAUUGCUUGCGUAUGCCUGAUUCAUUGUCUGUCUUAUAUAUCGGCUCUUGCCUACUCGGGUAUCCCGUUGGUGCUGACUAGCACAACGCAAGUGUGUACACAGUGUAUGUGUGUGGCAGCAGGGUGAGAGCAACUGGCCCUAUCCAGCCCCAGCAUAGCAUCCCUCCAGUGGCUGUUGCUGGAGUCAACUUUAUGUUUCUUUUUAGAUUGUGAGCCCUUUGGGGAAAGGGGACCAUCUUAUUUUAUGUAUUAUUUAUUUUUCUAUGUAACCCACUUUGAGAACUUUGGUUGAAGAGAGGUAUAUAAAUAUUCAUAGUAGUAGUAAUGUGGUGGUUUUGGUUCUCUUUUGAAUCUGUAUUACAAUUAUUAUGCUUCCGUUGCUGUAAUUACAAGUGAAUUAGUAAUGUAAGAUGUUAUUGUUUUUCCUUUUCCUCCUAUGUGUGAAUGUCUCUAAGUAAUAAAACAAAGGAACUUUAUACAUU
Molecule: long non-coding RNA, 574 nt
Organism: Hemicordylus capensis (graceful crag lizard)
Lineage: Eukaryota; Metazoa; Chordata; Lepidosauria; Squamata; Cordylidae
Exons: 2
Source: RefSeq, a predicted model, not a curated record